UCAUUUUUCCUUCAUUCUCACAACAUUUAGCAUUCUCAACGGUUGGUUAUCGUGAAAGCUAUGUUUUAUCAUAAGAACUGAGAACGCUGCAGUAAGCGUAUAAAGUUGUUGCAUUUUCUAUGAAAUUAACUGCACCCGAAAAAAAUGAAAAAAAAUAUAUGAAAUUUUCACCCAUCAUGUGAUUCGAUCCCAAGUGGUGCAUUCAUCCAUCAAGAUGAUGCAUUCACCAUAGAUCUUAGUCAUCGAAGUGCUGAAAAUAGCUCUCACGUUCACACUUUAAAUAGGGUUGUCAUUUGAACCUCCUCCUAUAUGGCGUUGGGUUGUAAUAAAAUUUGAUUUUUUGUAAAAAC
This 350-nucleotide long non-coding RNA is filed under the name Salvia miltiorrhiza (redroot sage). RNAcentral's name for it is "long non-coding RNA (SMIL_LNC012620)". The record is from RNAcentral. Lineage: Eukaryota; Viridiplantae; Streptophyta; Magnoliopsida; Lamiales; Lamiaceae.